GAUGAACGCUGGCGGCGUGCUUAACACAUGCAAGUCGAACGGAAAGGCUCCUGCUUGCAGGGGUACUCGAGUGGCGAACGGGUGAGUAACACGUGGGUGAUCUGCCCUGCACUUCGGGAUAAGCCUGGGAAACUGGGUCUAAUACCGGAUAGGACGAUGGUUUGGAUGCCAUUGUGGAAAGUUUUUCGGUGUGGGAUGAGCUCGCGGCCUAUCAGCUUGUUGGUGGGGUAAUGGCCUACCAAGGCGUCGACGGGUAGCCGGCCUGAGAGGGUGUACGGCCAAUUUGGGAAUGGGAGACGGCCAGACCUCCUCCGGGAGGCAGCGGGGGGGAAUAUGUAACAAUGGGCCCAAGCCUAAGGAAGCGCCGCCGGGGGGGGGAGGCAGCCCUUCGGGUUGGAACCCCCUUUCGCAAGGGCAGAAGCCCAAGGGACGGAACCUGGGAAAGAAGCACCGGCAAACUACGU
This 464-nucleotide ribosomal RNA is filed under the name uncultured bacterium. Its description in RNAcentral is "partial 16S ribosomal RNA". It matches the Rfam family "Bacterial small subunit ribosomal RNA", at positions 28 to 506 of the family's 1533-position model. The record is from RNAcentral.